CUACCUGAAUACUCUCCUGAGGAAAGAGCCUGGCAACAAGAUGAAGCAAGCCAAGUCUGUGGGUGACCUCGCCCCACCUGAAUGGGACUGGAGGAGUAAGGGGGCUGUCACAAAAGUCAAAGACCAGGGCAUGUGUGGCUCCUGCUGGGCCUUCUCAGUCACAGGCAAUGUGGAGGGCCAGUGGUUUCUCAACCAGGGGACCCUGCUCUCCCUCUCUGAACAGGGUGAGCAUCUCGCUCUACUCCUCUGUCCCCAGCCUAGCCCCUCAGGAGGGCUUCUUGGGACCAGCCUUCUGUCUCCUAGAGCUCUUGGACUGUGACAAGAUGGACAAGGCCUGCAUGGGCGGCUUGCCCUCCAAUGCCUACUCGGCCAUAAAGAAUUUGGAGGAUGACUACAGCUACCAGGGUCACAUGCAGUCCUGCAACUUCUCAGCAGAGAAGGCCAAGGUCUACAUCAAUGACUCCGUGGAGCUGAGCCAGAACGAGCAGAGUGAGUGAGGGGCAGGGUGAGGUGAGGUCAGGUGGGGCCGGGGCCUGGGUGCCUACUGAUGCCACCCCUUCCCAUCUCAGAGCUGGCAG
Molecule: long non-coding RNA, 578 nt
Filed under: Homo sapiens (human)
Lineage: Eukaryota; Metazoa; Chordata; Mammalia; Primates; Hominidae
Description: non-protein coding lnc-ZDHHC24-1:1
Source: RNAcentral